RNAcentral lists this ribosomal RNA (349 nucleotides) under Helophorus nivalis. Its description in RNAcentral is "partial 12S ribosomal RNA". Lineage: Eukaryota; Metazoa; Arthropoda; Insecta; Coleoptera; Helophoridae. The record is from RNAcentral.
GCAUAUUUUAGAGCUUAAAUCAUAUUAUUAAUAUAAAUAAUAUUACUUUCAAAUCCAAUUUAUUAAUUAAAUUAAAUUAAUUAAACUAAAAAUAAAUUUAUUGUAACCCACCUCUUCUUAUAUAUACUGCACCUUGAUCUGAUUUUUAUUAUAAUUUUAAAUCUUGAAUAUUUAAAUUCUUAUAAAAUAUUCAAAUUACGAUGAUAUACAAAUAAAAAAUAUAAGUACUUAUAAUCGUGGACUAUCAAUUAUAGGACAGGUUCCUCUGAAAAGACUAAAAUACCGCCAAAUUUUUUAAUUUUAUAAGACUAUAACUAUUACUAAUUUUAUACAAUCAUUUUACAUUUUU